Molecule: long non-coding RNA, 1783 nt
Filed under: Centruroides sculpturatus (bark scorpion)
Lineage: Eukaryota; Metazoa; Arthropoda; Arachnida; Scorpiones; Buthidae
Description: uncharacterized LOC111634748
Source: RNAcentral
CAGUCGACUACGAAAAAACAAAAACACCCAUUUCCUUCGUUUUAGGGUUGGUUUGGCAUUGAGCCAGUCCCACCUGUUGCUCAGGUAUGAACAGCAACAGGUAGAAAUAACGUCAUAAGCAGAGAGGCAACCAUCAUUGUCUGUCCUUCUCUGGAAAGUGAAAGCUUACUUGUGUUUAUAAUUUACACAACGAAUCGAUGGAUAACAGGUAGACAUAAUUCAUUAAAGGUUGAAAGGUGGAAUAACACCACAAAAUGAUGACCUUCCCUAGGACUUCGAAACGUUACUUUGACUUGGGAGUUGUUUCUUGUUCGGUAGGUGGAUUGUUUUUUAGCAUUGGAGUCAUACUAGUUGUCAUUGGAUCAUCGCCACAAGAACCAGAAGCUUUGUGGAUCGCUGGAAUUGUUCUUCUAUUAUUUGGAGGAAUGUUGUUUUUUUUGGGAAUCGGUUCGAUUGGUUUGUAUUUGGCUAUGGAAGACAAAAGGCGGAAGACCGAAACUCGUAAUGCAGAUCGGCAAUAUGCAGCUAGUUUGAAAGGCUCCAGUGAGUUAAUUAUAGCGGAAAAACCUUAGAAAAAUGUACUUUCAAGCAUGGUUAAACGCUUAUGGCUUAUAAAGCUAUCUAUACAAUAAUAAGAAUAGCAUGCCAGAAGUUCGCUCGAAUAUAUAAACUUCUGGUUAAAUCGAUGUAACCAUUAAGAUAAAUGCAUUACUUAAAAUGAAAUUGCACCUGUUAUUGACCUUAAAAUUUAAUUCCGAUAACGUUGCAGACAUUUAUGGAUAUAUUUAAUUGUUUAUAAUAAUUUUUUAAAUUUACUGUUUUAUUUUAUUUUUUUUUUUUAAAUAAAUAAUAGUAUACGAAUAUAUAAUUGUUGUGUAAAAUUUACAUAUGUUUUCUUAUAUAUGUGCUUAUAAUAUUAGUUUAAUCGUUAUUACAUAUUGAAGUAUUACCAAUGUAACUGUAUUGCUGUUAAUUAAAUUUUACUAUAAUAAUGUUAAUUUUCGAAUUUAUAUUUAAAUGGUUUAUGAAAUUUUAAAUUAUUCAAUAAAUUAAUACUGAUAAAUGACACUUAUCUCACUAAAAAGACUGUUUAAAAACUAGAUUCUACUACUUGGACAAUGGUUCUAAACCGGUCUGCCAUGAAAGAGGUGCCACAAAAUUUUAUGUGUACUUUUUUAAACAUUAUUUGUACAUUUUCUAUGUAGAAAAAUGCAGGUUUUUUUAUAAGUUAUAAGGACUUUUUGAUAUUACGCAGUCUCUCGUCAGUAUGCCAUCAAAAAUUGUGCACCACUAACUGAAAAAUAUUGAAAAUUACUCAGUUAAUUCACUAUUAUUUUUUACUCUUUCUGCCUACGGGCACUAAAAAAGCAUUUUUCAGGCCCAUCGUUGAUUCGGGCAGGCCCACAAUUAAGUUGGGUGGCGAGGAAAAAGGGCUCUCAUCACACGACUUAAUUUUUAAAUAUAUUCUUGUUUUUAGAAUUUUAAAUUUUCAUUUUAAAUGAGAAUAUUCACUUGUAUGUGUACAGUAAAAAUAUAUAUAAUUUUUGUUUUUUCAAUUUUUAAAGUAUGUAUUCGUAUGAGGGGAAGCAUAUCAAAUUGAUACUGAUAUGAAACAGUGUGAGACAGUUAAAUAAAAAUUAAAGCGGAAGAAUCAACUUCCGUCUCAAUCUCUAGUUAUUUCCAUUUUAACUUUUUAAUAAUUUUUAUUUUUUUUCGUGUCAACGUCGUCAUGGAUGGUCAGUCGAAUUCAACAGGUUAUCAUAGAGGUCAUUAGAAAAAUUAA